This 405-nucleotide unclassified non-coding RNA is filed under the name Hevea brasiliensis (rubber tree). The record is from RNAcentral. Lineage: Eukaryota; Viridiplantae; Streptophyta; Magnoliopsida; Malpighiales; Euphorbiaceae.
GAACAUUGUAAGUAUACCUACACACUCAGCAGCUAGACACACAGAACCACUGCUAAGAAUACCUUUGUAUCUUACAUUAAUUUGAAAGGAGCAUUAUAACUAUUUUUUUUUUCUAUCUAUUUUUCAUAUGCAGUGGAUACAUGUCUCCAGAAUAUGUGGUGUUUGGAAAGUUUUCAACGAAAUCUGAUGUCUUUAGUUUUGGGAUCAUAUUAUUAGAGAUCAUUACAGGGAAAAAGAACAAUAGCUUUUGUCAAGAGGAUCCUUACCCAAGCAUGAUAGGAAAAAUAUGGCAUUUAUGGAGAGAAGAAAGAGCAUGGGAGAUAAUUGAUUCAUCACUAAAGCAUUCUUGUUCUCCUGAUGAAGUAUUGAGAUGCAUCCAAGUUGGGCUCUUAUGUGUGCAAGAAG